GCAGUGGAAAAUGUUACACAGAACCUUGAAAAUUAGACUUACAUCAACUUUUGCCAGUAUACUUCUGCCAAGAUUAAAAAAUCAGGAUCGAAGCAAAGACAAACACCAUAAAAUGAUGACAAUAUGGGAGGGAAACUGCAGCUGGCAGGUCUGGAGAAUCGCUCAACUACAUUCACAGCUUUACUUGGAGUCAAGCAAUGGCAAGAAAAGUCUUCAUCUUCACUAUGCACUGGACAACACGGAGAAAUGCUGACUUUGAGGUGUUUAAAUUUCAUCCUUUGAGGAUCAGUUCAAUUAACUUCUCCUAAAGGAAACCAACCCCCACAAACAAAAGAUUUACACCCACUGAAACUGAGAAACACUUAUCAGAAUCUGUCAUUUCAUAGAAUAUUGACUUGUGACAGGUCUUACGACACUGUCUAGUUCUAUAGCACUGUGCUUAUUUCUUUUCCAUCCAACCUUUGUACUCCCCACUUUGUAU
Molecule: long non-coding RNA, 481 nt
Filed under: Pan troglodytes (chimpanzee)
Lineage: Eukaryota; Metazoa; Chordata; Mammalia; Primates; Hominidae
Description: long non-coding RNA NONPTRT013133
Source: RNAcentral